CAAUAGCGUAUAUUAAAGUUGUUGCAGUUAAGAAGCUCGUAGUUGGAUUUGUGGCGUACGGUGUGUUCCGGGCACUUGUUGUCUGAGUAACCUGCUGUUGCCAUCCUUGGGUGGAACCUGUGUGGCAUUAGGUUGUCGUGCAGGGGAUGCCCAUCAUUUACUGUGAAAAAAUUAGAGUGUUCAAAGCAGGCUUAUGCCGUUGAAUAUAUUAGCAUGGAAUAAUGAGAUAGGACUUUUUUGCUAUUUUGUUGGUUUGCGCAAGAAGGUAAUGAUUAAUAGGGACAGUUGGGGGUAUUCGUAUUCCAUUGUCAGAGGUGAAAUUCUUGGAUUUUUGGAAGACGAACUACUGCGAAAGCAUUUACCAAGGAUGUUUUCAUUAA
RNAcentral lists this ribosomal RNA (380 nucleotides) under uncultured eukaryote. RNAcentral describes it as "partial 18S ribosomal RNA". It matches the Rfam family "Eukaryotic small subunit ribosomal RNA", at positions 592 to 976 of the family's 1831-position model. The record is from RNAcentral.